RNAcentral lists this long non-coding RNA (491 nucleotides) under Zea mays. RNAcentral describes it as "long non-coding RNA (ZMAY_LNC003943)". The record is from RNAcentral. Lineage: Eukaryota; Viridiplantae; Streptophyta; Magnoliopsida; Poales; Poaceae.
UGGUGCCGACUAUGAUGUCACCAAUAACGAUAGCUAGUAUGAUGCCACCGAUGAUGAUGCCAAACAUGGUUUCACCAAUGAUGAUGCCGAGUAUGAUGCCUUCGACGAUGACGCCGAGUAUGAUGCCACCGAUAAUGAUGCCAAGUAUGAUACCACCGAUGAUGAUGCCGAGCAUGGUGUCAUCAAUGAUAAUGCCAAACAUGAUGACAGUGCCACAAUGUUACUCUGAUUCCAUCUCGCACAUUAUACAACAACAACAAUUACCAUUCAUGUUCAGCCCCACAGCCGUGGCGAUCUCACCCAUGUUUUUACAGCAGCCCUUUGUUGGUGCUGCAUUCUAGAUAUAAGCAUUUGUGUUGUACCCAAUAAUGAAGUCGGCAUGCCAUCGCAUGCGACUCAUUGUUUAGGAAUAAAACAAGCUAAUAAUGACUUUUCUCUCAUUAUAAUGUAUAUCUCUCCCUGUCUGUUUGUGUGUUUGCAAUGUCUUUUAC